GUGAGGAAUUUUCCGCAAUGGGCGAAAGCCUGACGGAGCAAUGCCGCGUGAAGGAUGAAGGCCUAUGGGUUGUAAACUUCUUUUCUCAGAAAAGAAUUAUGACGGUAUCUGAGGAAUAAGCAUCGGCUAACUCUGUGCCAGCAGCCGCGGUAAGACAGAGGAUGCAAGCGUUAUCCGGAAUGAUUGGGCGUAAAGCGUCUGUAGGUUGUUUAAAAAGUAUUCUGUCAAAAAUUAGGGCUUAACCCUAGAUAGGCAGAAUAAACUUUUAAGCUAGAGUUUGGUAGAGGCAGAGGGAAUUCCCGGUGGAGCGGUGAAAUGCGUAGAUAUCGGGAGGAACACCAAAGGCGAAGGCACUCUGCUGGGCCAAUACUAACACUGAGAGACGAAAGCGAGGGGAGCAAAUGGGAUUAGAAACCCGAGUAGUCC
RNAcentral lists this ribosomal RNA (426 nucleotides) under uncultured bacterium. RNAcentral describes it as "bacterial SSU rRNA". It matches the Rfam family "Bacterial small subunit ribosomal RNA", at positions 354 to 796 of the family's 1533-position model. The record is from RNAcentral.